Molecule: unclassified non-coding RNA, 224 nt
Filed under: uncultured fungus
Lineage: Eukaryota; Fungi
Description: sequence contains ITS1
Source: RNAcentral
AGUUUAUAGAUGCGUUACAUCGAUUACAUUCAAAUUAAUACAUAUGAGUUUGUGUAUUGGCAGACGGAGAAAACACCCUAACAAAAGGGCGAUGCUCUCCGUCUCACAGGUGCACAGGUGUGUGUGGAUGAAAGAGAAGGCGUGCACAUGCCGAAUAAACGACCAGCGACAACCAACUCUACAUUCAUUCAAUAAUGAUCCUUCCGCAGGUUCACCUACGGAAA